GAUGAACGCUGGCGGCGUGCCUAACACAUGCAAGUCGAGCGAACGGACCCUAAGCUUGCUGCUCUGAUGUUAGCCGCAGGCGUGAGUGUAACACGUGGAUCACCCCCCUGUAAGACUGGGAUCACCUCGGGAAACCGGAGCUUAUACCGUAUAAUAUUUUGAUCCGCGUGGUUCGAAAGUGAAUUACGGUGUUGCUGGCUCUUCUAGAUGCUUCCCGGCUGUUUUAGCUAGUUGGUAGGGUACCGGCCUAUCAAGGCAACCAUGCGUAGACGACGUGAGAGGGUGAUCGGCCACACUGGAAGUGAGACGCGGUCCAGAGUCCUACGGGAGGCAGCAGUAGGGAAUGGGCCGCAAUGGGCGGGAGCAUGACGGAGCGAGGGGGCGUGUGUGACGAAGGUCUUCGGAGCGUAAAACUCUGUUAUGGGGGAAAAACAGAUGUGGCAGGAACCGAGGAGAGCGUGACGGUACCUAAUCAAAAAGCACCGGCUAACUACGUG
Molecule: ribosomal RNA, 497 nt
Filed under: uncultured bacterium
Lineage: Bacteria
Description: partial 16S ribosomal RNA
Rfam family: Bacterial small subunit ribosomal RNA
Source: RNAcentral